CCACUUUGAUUAUUUAAUAAUUAACUUCUGAUCUUUCUGAGACAAUAUGUUCCUCUUAUUUCUUGUCAAUAUGAAACCAAGAGCAAAGUUUCAUCCUUAGACAUGAAAGGCUUAUUAAAUGACCAAAUAACAUAGUUUAGACGAAAGCUUCCUAAUAAAAUUUAUUCUCACUAUCUAAAUCUAAAACUGAAUUCAAUUCAUCUAUCUGAUUAUUAUAUAGUUUUCAUUUUUUGUUAUUUUAUUGAAUGAGUAAAAAAUUUAAUUAAAUACUUACUAUUUUUUUCAUAUAAUCUUAUAAAUUAUGUUACGUGUGGGACAUCCACCUAAUAACCUAUUAAUUUAAAUAGUAAUAUUUGAAAAAUAUUUUAUUGACAUUGUUUUAAAUAAAUUCAUAAUUCUAAAAAUAGCAAUAACUUUUUGAAAACAUCAGAUUUAUGUACACGCAUAGGACACAUACCUUUUUAUUUACUUAAAGGAAAAUGAACGAGUCUAAAGCUUCCACAUGUUAUAUGAGCAAAACAUGGAUUUUUCUAAAUUAGAUUCGUUUAAAUCAGAACAUAUUAAUGUGAGUUUCUUAAAUUAGAUUUUUAAUAUGUAUAUAUACGUAAGAAUACUUCUUAUGUUUAAAAAAAAAAAAUAGAAUACUUUAUCUCUUUCCUAAAUUUUUAAGCCAAUAUCAAUCCAUUUCUAUAAUCCAAGAUGAAGAAAUCCCUUCAACUCUCGUUUACGUUCUUAAUUAUCUCCAUCAUUCUCUCACAAGGAAUGAUGGCAGAUGCGCAGAAAAAGAAUUGUCCUCGUAAAAUUCCAAUAAAAGGAAGCUAUUGUGCUCCAACUAUAUGUUUGGAUAAGUGUAAGAAGCAACAUGGAACUGUUGGUAGUUGUGCGGAAGAAAAAGGAUUUUGUAACUGCGCUUGUAA
Molecule: long non-coding RNA, 917 nt
Organism: Brassica napus (rape)
Lineage: Eukaryota; Viridiplantae; Streptophyta; Magnoliopsida; Brassicales; Brassicaceae
Exons: 2
Source: RefSeq, a predicted model, not a curated record